GUGCCAGCCGCCGCGGUAAUACGUAGGUGGCAAGCGUUGUCCGGAAUUACUGGGCGUAAAGGGUGCGCAGGCGGACAUUUAAGUGAGAUGUGAAAUACCCGGGCUUAACCCGGGCAGUGCAUUUCAAACUGGGUGUCUGGAGUGCAGGAGAGGAGAACGGAAUUCCUAGUGUAGCGGUGAAAUGCGUAGAGAUUAGGAAGAACACCAGUGGCGAAGGCGGUUCUCUGGACUGUAACUGACGCUGAGGCACGAAAGCGUGGGUAGCAAACAGGAUUAGAUACCCUGGUAGUCCACGCCGUAAACGAUGAGUACUAGGUGUAGGAGGUAUCGACCCCUUCUGUGCCGCAGUAAACACAAUAAGUACUCCGCCUGGGAAGUACGAUCGCAAGAUUAAAACUCAAAGGAAUUGACGG
This 413-nucleotide ribosomal RNA is filed under the name uncultured bacterium. Its description in RNAcentral is "bacterial SSU rRNA". It matches the Rfam family "Bacterial small subunit ribosomal RNA", at positions 505 to 916 of the family's 1533-position model. The record is from RNAcentral.